UAUGAAAAUGUGAUUCGUGCCGUUACAUCAUCAGGGUGAUGAGAGACUCUUUGAUGGAAGCAGCAAGGACCUCUGAAACGUCGCUAAACUUGUAACAGACUACACGGCGCAACAACCCAGAAUACUGCUCAUGAUAAUAGAUACUUAAAGUGGUUCUGUUUUUAAUGGAUAAUGAAGAAUGCCAAGUGUCAGAUACUGCACAGAUAAGGCAGAAUCAUUAAGUCUGAUGGCAACCCUUUCAAGUGAAAGUGUAAAUAAGUACACUUUACCAAGUUGCACGUCUACUAUGCAGGCAUCUGUUACUGAGGAAUAAUGUAAAUGGCAAUAAAUACUAUUAUAAGAAUAAUAAUUUCUCUUCACAAUUGAUGAUAUGAUCAGGUACAUGAUAUUCUCAACAUUAGAAUACACAACAAAUUCACAAGCAGAAGCAGCUCACAUCAUAACCUUGUAGCACUGUAUGUUUCAAAUCAUCACUCACACAUUAUCUUAUUUCAUCCAGUGUAAGAAAGAUAUAAUCUUCACUAUAGAAAACUCAACUCAAUAAAGAAAUUAAAUUAACAGCUUUAUUGAUGUUCAAGUGACUAUGGUGACUAACUGGUACAGACAACAUACGUAAGAUUUGCAUUGGGAACAGUUGGUGGUAGCAGCUGCAACUUUUUAAAUAAACCUAAGCAAAAAGAGGCAAAGCUUCAGUAAAACUAUGGUUAAAAAAGAGUGCACUUAGCCAUUUGUUUUUAAAUAAAUUUUAUUAUUAAAGUGUUUGCCAACAGAAGAGAGCCUAUAAAAGGCUAACACUAACAAAAAUAUACAACAUUAACUGAAUUAUAUAAAAAAAGAAAAUUAAACUAAAAGAAAUAAUCAAUCUAGACACUUACUCAAAUAGAACAACAUUAAUUUCAAUGCUAAAGCAUAUUUACUCCACUUUUGGGCUGGAAAUAGUGAUUGCUCAAAUGCAACUUGUAGUCUCCUGCACUUGACUGGCUGAGUGGAUAUAUUAAUGUGGUAUUUUAAAAGUCUGUAAUCUACAAAGUUGCCUCAUGCAACAUACCCCGACUACAUAAAAGUGAAGGAGGUUUCAAUUAAGAGACUAAAAUAAUGGGACUGUGUACUAAAGAAUUUUAAGGCAAUGAAAAUUGAUUUUGUA
Molecule: long non-coding RNA, 1144 nt
Organism: Zootermopsis nevadensis
Lineage: Eukaryota; Metazoa; Arthropoda; Insecta; Blattodea; Termopsidae
Source: RefSeq, a predicted model, not a curated record